UCUAUUUUCUGUGUGUGCUGCUGCCAGAGAGGCAGUCAGCAGACCAGCAGUUUGUGUAAUGCUUCAAGCUACAGCGGGCAAAUUUAAAGCUGUAUGCUCAGAACAACAUAAUAAAUACUUAUUGAAAAUGCAUUUCUAUUUCUAAGCGGGGCUCACUCAUGCAUUAUACAAAACACCUAGGGCUCCAGUAGCAGACACAAGGGGACAAAUAAGGUAUACUGUGACUCGAGUCCUUAAAACUAAACUAUGGGGCUUUUAACAGUGGAGAGCAGAAAUAAACAAACAAACAAAAAUUCCCCUUAAGUCGAAAACUAACAGCUUUGAAGGAAACCCAAGGCUUAAAAUGGAAACUUUAAAGAAGUUGUAAUUUUAAAAAUAUCUUAGAACUGUGAGGGUAAGAAGGGACUAGAGGGGAGUCAACGGUGGUAGAUAGCAUAUUGAUUGCCUUACAGAGUGGAAAAUUAUUGCCCUGUAGGUAGGGAAAGUGAUCAACAGUGUGAUAAAACAGUUGAAGGUUUUUAUGGCCCUUUCUACCUACUAUAGAGGAAAAGGAAAAGCAUUCUAAACCCACUCUCACACCCACUCACCCCCACCCACACACACUCUCUCACUCCUGUCUGCCUGGUCUGUUGGAAGAGAAUCAAUAGUAUUUAAAUUUUUACGCGUUCAACAAAGACAAUCCCUUCCCCUUGGAGGAAACAUCUUGAGUACAAUGUGGGAAGCUUCUUCGGAAGGGUUCAGCAGCUCCUCCCUGGCCUCCUGGAUUCUCGUCCUUGCUCUUCACCACAUCGUUCUUACUCCUAAUUUUUCUUUCUAUCUCUAAAGAAUAUACAAAGAGAUCAAGAAUUGUUUUCAAUGUGAUACCCCUUGGCUCUUCCCAAUAAAGUUGUCUAUUCAGCACCUCCCCAUACCAAACUCCUUUUAUGUUUUAGUCUUUUAUGCAAUGUGGUAUGUAUUUUCAUAUCAACUAUGAACAUCACUCUGUGUAUUUUUCAGGUUUGUCUAAUUGGUGGCCCAUGGAAAAAUGUGUCCCAUGGUAUCUAAGAACGUAGCUCAACACAUUUGUAGUUGACAAUGCCAUGUUGAAACGUCAAAAGGGUCUCAUGUAGCCGAGGCUGAUCCUAAACUCACUAUGUAGCCAAGGCUGGCUCAUACUGGUGACUUUCCUAUUUCUGGCUUACAGAUGUUUGUCUGUCCAUCCUUUGACUAUGGGCUGGUCUUGUGACUUGACCUGUUGAACAUGAACCAAGUAAUAUCAGGUGUUGUUUGAGGCUGGACUUACACAGCUGUGGAAUCAUUUGCCAUCACUCUUGACAUGAAGAAUGUUAAACAGGAUGAAUCCUUUCUGGAGAGAA
Molecule: non-coding RNA, 1355 nt
Organism: Cricetulus griseus (Chinese hamster)
Lineage: Eukaryota; Metazoa; Chordata; Mammalia; Rodentia; Cricetidae
Source: RefSeq, a predicted model, not a curated record